This 500-nucleotide ribosomal RNA is filed under the name uncultured Glomeromycotina. RNAcentral describes it as "partial small subunit ribosomal RNA". It matches the Rfam family "Eukaryotic small subunit ribosomal RNA", at positions 591 to 1092 of the family's 1831-position model. The record is from RNAcentral. Lineage: Eukaryota; Fungi; Glomeromycota.
CCAAUAGCGUAUAUUAAAGUUGUUGCAGUUAAAAAGCUCGUAGUUGAAUUUCGGGGUUAGUAGGUUGGUCAUGCCUCUGGUAUGUACUGGUCUCACUGAUUCCUCCUUCCUGAUGAGCCGUAAUGCCAUUAAUUUGGUGUUGCGGGGAAUUUGGACUGUUACUUUGAAAAAAUUAGAGUGUUUAAAGCAAGCUAACGCUUGAAUACAUUAGCAUGGAAUAAUGAAAUAGGACGUUCGAUCCUAUUUUGUUGGUUUCUAGGAUUGACGUAAUGAUUAAUAGGGAUAGUUGGGAGCAUUAGUAUUCAAUUGUCAGAGGUGAAAUUCUUGGAUUUAUUGAAGACUAACUACUGCGAAAGCAUUUGCCAAGGAUGUUUUCAUUAAUCAAGAACGAAAGUUAGGGGAUCGAAGACGAUCAGAUACCGUCGUAGUCUUAACCAUAAACUAUGCCGACUAGGGAUCGGGUGAUGUUAAUUUUUUAAUGACUCAUUCGGCGCCUUACG